Molecule: ribosomal RNA, 602 nt
Filed under: uncultured bacterium
Lineage: Bacteria
Description: bacterial SSU rRNA
Rfam family: Bacterial small subunit ribosomal RNA
Source: RNAcentral
CAUGCAGUCGAACGAAGCACUUUGGACAGAUUCUUCGGAUGAAGUUUUUAGUGACUGAGUGGCGGACGGGUGAGUAACGCGUGGGUAACCUGCCUCAUACAGGGGGAUAACAGUUAGAAAUGGCUGCUAAUACCGCAUAAGCGCACAGUACCGCAUGGUACGGUGUGAAAAACUCCGGUGGUAUGAGAUGGACCCGCGUUGGAUUAGCUAGUUGGCAGGGUAACGGCCUACCAAGGCGACGAUCCAUAGCCGGCCUGAGAGGGUGGACGGCCACAUUGGGACUGAGACACGGCCCAGACUCCUACGGGAGGCAGCAGUGGGGAAUAUUGCACAAUGGGGGAAACCCUGAUGCAGCGACGCCGCGUGAGCGAAGAAGUAUUUCGGUAUGUAAAGCUCUAUCAGCAGGGAAGAAAAUGACGGUACCUGACUAAGAAGCCCCGGCUAACUACGUGCCAGCAGCCGCGGUAAUACGUAGGGGGCAAGCGUUAUCCGGAUUUACUGGGUGUAAAGGGAGCGUAGACGGAAUGGCAAGUCUGAUGUGAAAGGCCGGGGCUCAACCCCGGGACUGCAUUGGAAACUGUCAAUCUAGAGUACCGGAGGGG